Long non-coding RNA from Fukomys damarensis (Damara mole-rat), 1857 nucleotides. The record is from Ensembl. Lineage: Eukaryota; Metazoa; Chordata; Mammalia; Rodentia; Bathyergidae.
UUCUUUCUUUCUUUCUUUCUUCCUUUCUUUCUUUCUUUCUUCUUUCUUUCUUUCAUACCGGGCAUCAAACUCAGGUCCCUCCAGGCAGCAGAACCACUGAGCCAAAUCCAUGGCCCUCUACAUAAAUUUUUAGAAACUGAUCAGUAUCCUCUCUCUCUCUCUAAUCAAUAGUGUAUAUCAUUAGGAGAAUCAACAUCUUUUCAAUAUUGAGCCUGCUCAUUAAUGAAGGUGUUAUAUCUCUCUGUCAAUUAGACCUCCUCUAAUUUUUUUGCAGUACAGUUGUAGGAUACAUUCCAUAAAGAUUUUGCACAUUUUUAAAGAUAUAGUAUUUGUUUUUCACUUUUUGGGGAGCCAAAGUCUUGCUAUGUCGUCCGCACUGGCCUCAAGCUUGAGACCCUCCUGCCUCAGUCUCCUGAGUGCUGGGACUACAGGUGUGCACCACCACGCCUGCUGAUUAGAGUUGCUGAUACUUCCUUCCUUACAAUGUACUCACGGUGGUAAGGGGCUGGGGUCGGUGUGCUUGGCUUCUCUACUCAUCUGUGAGCUCCCGGAAGGCCUGUUCCACAUGGAUCCCUGGAACCUGCGCCCCAGACUCCAACACUGAGCUGAAUGCCACAGGUGGGGAACUUUUUGCCCAGAGGGGUUUGAGGUUUCGAUGUCUGCCGGUAGGAGGAUGACCAAGACUCUAAUCCCACGGGGGAUGGAAAAUAAACAAGAAUGCGUCAAGGGAGUGCAAAGCUAAGUAAAUAGAAAAUCCACCCUAUAAUGACUGAGCUGGGUGCGCUCAUUUCUGGACAACGCCCUGCCUGCUUGCUCAGGCCCCUGCCUGCCAGAGCCUGGGAACCGCCUGGGGAAGCUGUCAUUUCCACGAUCAAGGUGUUUCAGGUUAAGAUAAUUAACAUCGAGGUGCAGCUUCUCAGGAUGCUGAGACUCCUUCAAAGACCCAAGAGAGGUUCAAAAAAGAACUGGACUGACGGAGCUUUCACGCUGAAGUGCUGCAGUCCCUCAAACACCGCACUCAGAGGGCUGGACGGUGGGCCUGGUGAAGCUCCUCACCGCCCCGGAGCUCGGGACCCAGGGCGGGGACCACCGGCCCGUGGUGGUGGCCAGCUGGGGACACUGUGAUCUGCUUUGUUCUUCUGUGGCCGGACCUCUGACGUGUUCAGCUGUGACCUGCAGUGGACAAGAGACUCCGCAGGUGGCUGUGCACAAAAUGGAGCCAAACACGCCUGUCUUCUUAGCGUUCUUGGGCAAGCUGCCUCAGGUUAUGUCCUCCCGUCCACGGCGCACCGGGCACCGUGCCAGGCGCCUGGCUGAUGAUCUUCCACGGCUUACAGCAACCCCCCAGUACAGGUGCAAUCACUUUCUUCAUCUUGCUAACAGCUCAGAGAGGGCUGGGAGCUAAUCCAAGGUCACACAGCUGGCAAACAGCCACGCCAGGAAGCACUUCGUGGUACGUUUGCUCUGUGCCACCACUGUGGGCACUUGUGGCCCGGGACAUGUGUUCAAUAAACACGGAACAAAUAGACGAGACUGUCCCGGAGACUGGGCUCCCUCAUUAGCAACAAGCAGGUACAGGUUGGCACAUAAAAAGGCAGCUUUUAUUGGCUGAUGAGUUGCUUCCCCACCCACGGACCGGGAAGCAGGAAAAGCAGAGACACUUCCGCAAACGGCUUCAUCUGGCAGCCCAUGAUUAAGGGAUUCCCUCCCUGCUCGGCUGACACUGAAGAAGCCCUGCACCUCUUCGUCUCUCCACACAACCCCUCCCUGCAGCUGUGGAUGAGCGUGUGAGGCCUGGAGCCACAGCACGCACGGCAGGGAGAGGAGUACCAGGGACACCGGGAGGGACGGCAGGGG